Long non-coding RNA from Pomacea canaliculata, 1149 nucleotides. RefSeq lists it as uncharacterized. NCBI's taxonomy places the organism in Eukaryota, Metazoa, Mollusca, Gastropoda, Architaenioglossa, Ampullariidae. The transcript has 3 exons. The record is from RefSeq and is a predicted model, not a curated record.
GUUCGUUCCUAAAUUGUCCUGUUUCAUCUACUUUGUGGACAUAUUUGAUAAACUGGUCUUAUUGCCUCACAUUUAUCCACCCGAUAACAUGAGGAUGGUUUGUUUUGAAGCUUCAGAAAAUUAUUAUCAUUCUUCGUAUAUCAGACUGAUAAAAGGAACUGCUCACAUUCUGUGACUAGGUCCAGAUGCUGAAAGAUGUCACAGGGGAAAGAUGACGAUUGUUAAUUCAGUAGACAGCAAAAAUUCAGGUAACAUGAUGAUAAUACAUAAAAGAAGAAAGGAGAAUUGGACUUGACGCCAGCCCAGAUGACUUUAAAUGUCAGGUGACUGGACGAAGAAUUUAUUCGCCACCAGAUGGUUGAUAUCUCCAUUCGCUACAUUGCAGAGUUUAAAAACUUAAACAGACCCCCCGUCGAUGUAGGGAUGGGGGACAACUUUCUUCCGCAAGAAAAGUGGCAAGUUUCAACAUUUUUUCCAGAUCCCGCUCAAUCCAACUCAACCGUAGUGGAUAACACGUGAAACUUUUCAGCCUGUUUGCUUAGACACGACCGGAAGCGGCCAUUAUGCGCAUGCGUUUGCAGAGCAAUUUCGUCGUCACUGUCGUUUAGCCGCACAAAAUGGCGGCCCUUUGUCGCCAAGCUGCUGCCCGUCGGAGUGGCUUGGCCGGCAGGGAGGGACCGGGAGGGUGGCGGGAGGUGCUGGCAGCUUUUGAUGCCUCCACGAUAAUGCAACAGACAGUUGGUCUUUGUCGUCUGCCUCAAGGGCCGGUCGACAUGCAAAUGCAAGAGAGAUGUUUCAACACAGGGAGGCUUUGCACUGACUGUGAGGCGACAUGGUCACCGACACUGUCAACAGAUGACGACGGUGCGGCAGGUGCGCGCGGCAGGUGAUUUGCACGCGCUGGUGCGUGUGUGCACACGUUUUGGCGAGUGUGUGCGAACACGCGUUCCAGAGCUGACACUAUAGGCAUGCGAGUGUCCCAACACUAGUACUAGGACCGUGUGAACAUGAAGUUCUUGUUGUCAAAGAGAGGACAAAGUUUACACCUGUCGGUGUCAGCGUGCAUGCAAGCGUGUCUGUGUGAAUGUGCGCGUAUUCUAAGAUUUAUUUAUAUUAAUCACUUUUAUUUUUUUAUAGAAAUGCGUAAUA